This 432-nucleotide transfer-messenger RNA is filed under the name Cyanobacteriota (cyanobacteria). RNAcentral describes it as "2-02-FULL-35-15 sp001784585 Standard tmRNA". It matches the Rfam family "transfer-messenger RNA". Rfam says of the family: Bacterial tmRNA, also known as 10Sa RNA or SsrA, is named for its dual tRNA and mRNA-like properties. Its role is to liberate the mRNA from a stalled ribosome. RNAcentral also lists the same sequence under 2 other names. The record is from RNAcentral. Lineage: Bacteria; Bacillati.
GGGGGCGUUUAGAUUCGACAAACCUGAAGUAUUCUGAAUUGCAAGCAGUGGAAGCUUAGUCACCACUUAAAUCCUCAAAGCAAAAAACAAAUAACAAAUCAAAUGUUAUUUCUAUGCGCGAAUGGAAGAAAUCUAAAGCAAAUCACCGCAAGGUAGUUGCUAUAGGUGACCGUCGAGCUCAAAAACAAGCUGCCUAGUUUCUAGGUAUCGCAUACAGAGCGUAAGCUUGGCUACCCGCCCAAACUCUGAAAAACACGGUGGCUGCAGUGAUUAAGUUUCUUGGUUUAGUAAUUCACUUAAGCUCAAAACCAAAACACCGGAGGUUUUUUGUACCAUUGAUCAGCGGUUCUGGUCAAAUAACAAAAUAAGCUUGUAGAUAUUUAGAGUAAAUCAUUUUUGGACAGGGGGGGCAGUUCCUCCUCGCCUCCAGAU